AUGUGGAAACACUGGAGAAGACAGU
This 25-nucleotide non-coding RNA is filed under the name Cricetulus griseus (Chinese hamster). The record is from RNAcentral. Lineage: Eukaryota; Metazoa; Chordata; Mammalia; Rodentia; Cricetidae.